RNAcentral lists this ribosomal RNA (1668 nucleotides) under Clostridioides difficile. RNAcentral's name for it is "bacterial LSU rRNA". It matches the Rfam family "Bacterial large subunit ribosomal RNA", at positions 563 to 2202 of the family's 2925-position model. The record is from RNAcentral. Lineage: Bacteria; Bacillati; Bacillota; Clostridia; Peptostreptococcales; Peptostreptococcaceae.
CUUACAAGCUGUGGAAGCACAUUUCUUGUGUGACCGCGUACUUUUUGUAGAACGGGCCAACGAGUUACGUUAAGUAGCAAGGUUAAGCACUUAAGGUGCGGAGCCGUAGCGAAAGCGAGUUUUAACUGAGCGUUCAGUUACUUGACGUAGACCCGAAACCGGGCGACCUACCCAUGAGCAGGAUGAAGCGAAAGUAAAAUUUCGUGGAGGUCCGAACCCACGAGCGUUGAAAAGCUCGGGGAUGACUUGUGGGUAGCGGUGAAAUUCCAAUCGAGCCCGGAGAUAGCUGGUUCUCCCCGAAAUAGCUUUAGGGCUAGCCUCAAGGUGAGAGAUACGGAGGUAGAGCACUGAAUGUCCUAGGGGGUAUUGCACCUACCGAAGACUAUCAAACUCCGAAUGCCGUCAUCUUAUACUUGGGAGUCAGACUGUGGGUGAUAAGAUUCAUAGUCGAAAGGGCAACAGCCCAGAUCGUCAGCUAAGGUCCCUAAAUGUAAGUUAAGUGGUAAAGGAUGUGGGAUUGCACAGACAACCAGGAUGUUGGCUUAGAAGCAGCCACUCAUUCAAAGAGUGCGUAAUAGCUCACUGGUCGAGUGAUCCUGCGCCGAAGAUUUCCGGGGCUAAAACUUACUACCGAAGCUACGGCAUCAGUAAUGAUGGGUAGGGGAGCUUCCCAUACGGGUUGAAGCAUGACCGUAAGGACAUGUGGACAGUAUGGGAGUGAGAAUGUUGGCAUGAGUAGCGAGAUGUGGGUGAGAAUCCCACAGGCCGUAAACCCAAGGUUUCCAGGGGAAGGUUCGUCCGCCCUGGGUUAGUCGGGACCUAAGCUGAGGCCGAAAGGCGUAGGUGAUGGACAACAGGUUGAUAUUCCUGUACUACCGAUAACCGUUUGAGAGAAGGGAUGACACAGUAGGAUAAGCUAAGCACACUGUUGGUUAUGUGUGCCCAAGCAUUGAGGCAGUCAAAGUAGGCAAAUCCGCUUUGAUAAUGCUGGGAUGUGAUGGGGAGCGAAAUUUAGUAGCGAAGUAGCUGAUUUCACACUGUCAAGAAAAGUCUCUAUCGAGGUUAAAGGUACCCGUACCGCAAACCGACACAGGUGGGUGAGGAGAGUAUCCUAAGGCCAGCGAGAGAACUGUUGUUAAGGAACUCGGCAAAAUGACCCCGUAACUUAGGGAUAAGGGGUGCCACCAUCAGGUGGCCGCAGAGAAUAGGCCCAAGCGACUGUUUACCAAAAACAUAGGUUUCUGCUAAGUCGCAAGACGAUGUAUAGGAGCUGACGCCUGCCCGGUGCUGGAAGGUUAAGGGGAUCUGUUAGAGCAAUCGAAGCAGUGAACUUAAGCCCCAGUAAACGGCGGCCGUAACUAUAACGGUCCUAAGGUAGCGAAAUUCCUUGUCGGGUAAGUUCCGACCCGCACGAAAGGCGUAACGAUUUGGGCACUGUCUCAACAACAGACUCGGUGAAAUUGUAAUUCCGGUGAAGAUGCCGGAUACCUGCGACAGGACGGAAAGACCCCAUGGAGCUUUACUGUAGCUUGACAUUGGGUCUUGGUACUACAUGUACAGGAUCUGUCUCUUAUACACAUCUCCGAGCCCACGAGACCGAGGCUGAUCUCGUAUGCCGUCUUCUGCUUGAAAAAAAAAAAAAAAUAAAAACUAGCCUCUGGAAUAGGU